Molecule: long non-coding RNA, 165 nt
Organism: Oxyura jamaicensis (ruddy duck)
Lineage: Eukaryota; Metazoa; Chordata; Aves; Anseriformes; Anatidae
Exons: 3
Source: RefSeq, a predicted model, not a curated record
ACGCUUCGGAAAUGAAUUCCCAAGCAAGAGCUCCUGAUGAAGCCGACAUGACUUCCGCAACAGCGAGGAUGGAAACAGAUGCAAUCUCAAACAGAAUAUGAUGCACAAGACCUGAAACGCAUCUGCACUUUAAGCUGCGACUACAACCACUUCUUGUCUUGCAGG